AGAGUUUGAUCAUGGCUCAGAGCGAACGUUAGCGGCAGGCCUAACACAUGCAAGUCGCGCGAGAACAGGGCUUCGGCCCCCAGUAAAGCGGCGGACGGGUGAGUAACACGUGGGUAAUGUGCCCUUCGGCGGGGGACAACAGUUCGAAAGGGCUGCUAAUACCGCAUACGUCGGUCGGUGCUUCGGCACUGAUCGGGAAAGAUGGCCUCUCCAUGGAAGCUAUCGCCGAUUGAGCAGCCCGCGACCCAUCAGCUUGUUGGCGGGGUAACGGCCCACCAAGGCUAAGACGGGUAGCUGGUCUGAGAGGAUGAUCAGCCACACUGGAACUGAGACACGGUCCAGACUCCUACGGGAGGCAGCAGUGGGGAAUAUUGGGCAAUGGGCGAAAGCCUGACCCAGCCAUGCCGCGUGAGUGAUGAAGGCCCUCGGGUCGUAAAGCUCUGUGGGGAGGGACGAACCAGUUCGGGGCAAAUACCCCCGAGCUCUGACGGUACCUCCUUAGCAAGCACCGGCUAACUCCGUGCCAGCAGCCGCGGUAAUACGGAGGGUGCAAACGUUGCUCGGAAUCAUUGGGCGUAAAGCGCGCGUAGGCCGCCUGUCAUGUCGGGUGUGAAAGCCCUGGGCUCAACCCAGGAAGUGCAUUCGAAACUGCAGAACUUGAUUAUGGGAGAGGGUCGCGGAAUUCCCGGUGUAGAGGUGAAAUUCGUAGAUAUCGGGAGGAACACCAGUGGCGAAGGCGGCGACCUGGACCAAUACUGACGCUGAGGUGCGAAAGCGUGGGGAGCAAACAGGAUUAGAUACCUGGGUAGUCCACGCCGUAAACGAUGAAUGCUAGAUAUCGGGGGUAUUGACCCCUCCGGCGCCGUAGCUAACGCAUUAAGCAUUCCGCCUGGGGAGUACGGCCGCAAGGCUAAAACUCAAAGGAAUUGACGGGGGCCCGCACAAGCGGUGGAGCAUGUGGUUUAAUUCGACGCAACGCGAAGAACCUUACCUGGGUUAAAUCCGCCAGAAUCCGGCAGAGAUGUCGGAGUGCCCUUCGGGGAAUCGGCGAGACGGUGCUGCAUGGCUGUUGUUAGCUCGUGUUGUGAGAUGUUGGGUUAAGUCCCGCAACGAGCGCAACCCUUGCCCUUAGUUGCCAGCGGGUUAUGCCGGGAACUCUAGGGGGACUGCCCCGGAAAGACGGAUGAAGGUGGGGAUGACGUCAAGUCCUCAUGGCCCUUAUGUCCCGGGCUACACACGUGCUACAAUGGACGGUACAGAGGGGCGCAAUACCGCGAGGUGGAGCAAAUCCCAAAAAACCGUCCUCAGUUCGGAUUGCAGUCUGCAACUCGACUGCAUGAAGUCGGAAUCGCUAGUAAUCGCGGAUCAGCACGCCGCGGUGAAUACGUUCCCGGGCCUUGUACACACCGCCCGUCAAGUCAACCGAGUCGGAUGCACUCGAAGAGGGUUGCCUAACCGUAAGGAGGGCGCUCUUUAAGGAGUGACUGGUAACUGGGGUGAAGUCGUAACAAGGUA
RNAcentral lists this ribosomal RNA (1515 nucleotides) under uncultured prokaryote. RNAcentral's name for it is "partial 16S ribosomal RNA". It matches the Rfam family "Bacterial small subunit ribosomal RNA". The record is from RNAcentral.